GACGAACGCUGGCGGCGUGCUUAACACAUGCAAGUCGAACGGAAAGGCCUGUCCUUCCUUGUGUUGGACGGGUACUCGAGUGGCGAACGGGUGAGUAACACGUGAGUGAUCUGCCCCCAACUUGGGUAUAAGCCUGGGAAACUGGGUCUAAUUCCCGAUAGGACUGUAGGGUGGUGCCUGUGGUGGAAAACGAUUUUCUAGUGGUUGGGGAUGAGCUCGCGGCCUAUCAGCUUGUUGGUGGGGUAAUGGCCUACCAAGGCGGCGACGGGUAGCCGGCCUGAGAGGGUGGACGGCCACAUUGGGACUGAGAUACGGCCCAGACUCCUACGGGAGGCAGCAGUGGGGAAUAUUGCACAAUGGGCGGAAGCCUGAUGCAGCGACGCCGCGUGGGGGAUGACGGCCUUCGGGUUGUAAACUCCUUUCGACCGCGAGGAAGCCGCCUGGUUGGAAGGGUGGUGACGGUAGUGGUAGAAGAAGCACCGGCUAACUACGUG
This 494-nucleotide ribosomal RNA is filed under the name uncultured bacterium. RNAcentral's name for it is "partial 16S ribosomal RNA". It matches the Rfam family "Bacterial small subunit ribosomal RNA", at positions 28 to 507 of the family's 1533-position model. The record is from RNAcentral.